GGCGGACGGGUGAGUAAUGCUUGGGAACUUGCCUUUGCGAGGGGGAUAACAGUUGGAAACGACUGCUAAUACCGCAUAAUGUCUACGGACCAAAGGGGGCUUUUAGCUCUCGCGUGAAGAGAGGCCCAAGUGAGAUUAGCUAGUUGGUGAGGUAAAGGCUCACCAAGGCGACGAUCUCUAGCUGUUCUGAGAGGAAGAUCAGCCACACUGGGACUGAGACACGGCCCAGACUCCUACGGGAGGCAGCAGUGGGGAAUAUUGCACAAUGGGGGGAACCCUGAUGCAGCCAUGCCGCGUGUGUGAAGAAGGCCUUCGGGUUGUAAAGCACUUUCAGACGUGAGGAAGGGUUGAUGGUUAAUACCCGUCAACAUUGACGUUAGCGUCAGAAGAAGCACCGGCUAACUCCGUGCCAGCAGCCGCGGUAAUACGGAGGGUGCGAGCGUUAAUCGGAAUUACUGGGCGUAAAGCGCACGCAGGCGGUUUGUUAAGCUAGAUGUGAAAGCCCCGGGCUCAACCUGGGAUGGUCAUUUAGAACUGGCAGACUAGAGUCUUGGAGAGGGGAGUGGAAUUCCAGGUGUAGCGGUGAAAUGCGUAGAGAUCUGGAGGAACAUCAGUGGCGAAGGCGACUCCCUGGCCAAAGACUGACGCUCAUGUGCGAAAGUGUGGGUAGCGAACAGGAUUAGAUACCCUGGGUAGUCCACACCGUAAACGCUGUCUACUAGCUGUGUGUUGUAUUUUUAUACGUGCGUAGCGAAGCUAACGCGCU
Molecule: ribosomal RNA, 766 nt
Filed under: uncultured bacterium
Lineage: Bacteria
Description: bacterial SSU rRNA
Rfam family: Bacterial small subunit ribosomal RNA
Source: RNAcentral